GAUGAAGAACGUAGCGAAAUGCGAUAAGUAGUGUGAAUUGCAGAAUUCAGUGAAUCAUCGAAUCUUUGAACGCACAUUGCGCCCUUUGGUAUUCUUUAGGGCAUGCCUGUUCGAGCGUCAUUUAAACCUUCAAGCUAAGCUUGGUGUUGGGUGACUGUCCGCUUCACGGCGGACUCGCCUCAAAAUUAUUGGCGGCCGGUACAUUGGCUUCGAGCGCAGCAGAAACGCGAACUCGGGCCCGUCGUAUUGGCUCCCAGAAGCUAUCUUCACAAUUUUGACCUCGGAUCAGGUAGGGAUACCCGCUGAACUUAAGCAUAUCAAUAAGCGGAGGA
RNAcentral lists this unclassified non-coding RNA (332 nucleotides) under soil metagenome. Its description in RNAcentral is "partial contains 5.8S ribosomal RNA, internal transcribed spacer 2, and large subunit ribosomal RNA". The stretch from base 1 to 120 matches the Rfam family "5.8S ribosomal RNA", at positions 35 to 154 of the family's 154-position model. The record is from RNAcentral.